RNAcentral lists this long non-coding RNA (305 nucleotides) under Mytilus galloprovincialis (Mediterranean mussel). The record is from RNAcentral. Lineage: Eukaryota; Metazoa; Mollusca; Bivalvia; Mytilida; Mytilidae.
GUAACUUAUGUAUUGUUGCCUGUUUUUCUUUGAGACAUACAGACAAAAUGGCAGCCGGCUCAAGUCAAGAAACCGAAGUCACGGCUAUCAAAGGUUGUGCUAUGUGUACUAUUGUUUGUCUGUGGGUUUUUUUCUUCAUUUUUUGGCCAUGGCGUUGUUAGCUUAUUUCGACUUAUGACUUUUAAUGUCCCUUUGGUAUCUUUUGUCUCUCUUUCAUAUGCUUGCAUCUAUUGUAAAGAAAACUACAACCAAGACGAGGAAUUUCAUUCUAAUCUCUAAAACAGAACAUUUAAGUAAAGGCUGUU